CUUCAUUGACCACUAUCUUGGAGUCUAAGUAGCCCUCCUUGAUAAUGGCCAUCCAAAGGGAAGUCAAUGCUUCAGAGUAUAAUCCUAGCUGAGAAUACAGGGUCUUUUUUUUUAUGAGUCUAUACUUCCCAGAAGAGAGGGUAGAGACUGCAGAUCUGAUCCGCUUGCUAGCACUAAGAGUAUUGACAGGAGGAUCAGACAAAGUGAUCAGUUGGAGAGUGUAACCCAGUUACUGAGAGCUGCUGGUACCAGGACCUUCCCUCCUAGCCCUUCUCUGUUUUCUCCUAGCCAUCCCAGACAAUCUUGCCCAUUGUAGACCAGGUUCGACAGAAGAAGCAGAAGCAGACUGCUCUACCAUCCUAUCACCAUGAGGUAUACUGGCAACCCAGCCUCCUCAACAGGCAAAUUGGAACCACAGUGGGAUGGAGAAGCAGUCCCCUCAAAAGAAAUGUUUUUAUCACUCUCGACAAAUAUUGGAAGAAACAAAAAGGGUCACCACCCGAUUAUCUUCCAAUAUGGAUGGAAGGCUAACUACAACAAGGUUUCACCUGGUGUCUUGAAUGGAUCAUUCAGAACAUUAUAUCUUUUACUACCC
RNAcentral lists this long non-coding RNA (595 nucleotides) under Androctonus crassicauda. Lineage: Eukaryota; Metazoa; Arthropoda; Arachnida; Scorpiones; Buthidae. The record is from RNAcentral.